AUACGGAGGAUCCGAGCGUUAUCCGGAUUUAUUGGGUUUAAAGGGUGCGUAGGCGGCCUUUUAAGUCAGCGGUGAAAGUCUGUGGCUCAACCAUAGAAUUGCCGUUGAAACUGGGAGGCUUGAGUAUGUUUGAGGCAGGCGGAAUGCGGGGGGUAGCGGUGAAAUGCUUAGAAAUCACGCAGAACCCCGAUUGCGAGGGCAGCCGGCCAAGCCAUGACUGACGCUGAUGCACGAAAGCGUGGGGAUCAAACAGGAUUAGAUACCCUGGUAGUCCACGCAGUAAACGAUGAUCACUAGCUGUUUGCGAUACACUGUAAGCGGCACAGCGAAAGCGUUAAGUGAUCCACCUGGGGAGUACGCCGGCAACGGUGAAACUCAAAGGAAUUGACGGGG
This 393-nucleotide ribosomal RNA is filed under the name uncultured bacterium. RNAcentral describes it as "partial 16S ribosomal RNA". It matches the Rfam family "Bacterial small subunit ribosomal RNA", at positions 523 to 918 of the family's 1533-position model. The record is from RNAcentral.